Molecule: ribosomal RNA, 660 nt
Filed under: uncultured bacterium
Lineage: Bacteria
Description: bacterial SSU rRNA
Rfam family: Bacterial small subunit ribosomal RNA
Source: RNAcentral
AGUGGCGGACGGGUGAGUAACGCGUGAGAAUCUGCCUUGGGGUCGGGGACAACCACUGGAAACGGUGGCUAAUACCGGAUAAGCCGAUUGGUGAAAGAUUUAUUGCCCGAAGAGGAGCUCGCGUCUGAUUAGCUAGUUGGUGAGGUAAGAGCUCACCAAGGCAGCGAUCAGUAGCUGGUCUGAGAGGACGAUCAGCCACACUGGGACUGAGACACGGCCCAGACUCCUACGGGAGGCAGCAGUGGGGAAUUUUCCGCAAUGGGCGAAAGCCUGACGGAGCAAGACCGCGUGAGGGAGGAAGGCUCUUGGGUUGUAAACCUCUUUUCUCAGGGAAGAAGCUCUGACGGUACCUGAGGAAUCAGCCUCGGCUAACUCCGUGCCAGCAGCCGCGGUAAUACGGAGGAGGCAAGCGUUAUCCGGAAUUAUUGGGCGUAAAGCGUCCGCAGGUGGCGAUUCAAGUCUGCUGUCAAAGCACGGGGCUUAACUCCGUAAAGGCAGUGGAAACUGAAUAGCUAGAGUGCCGUAGGGGUAGAGGGAAUUCCCGGUGUAGCGGUGAAAUGCGUAGAGAUCGGGAAGAACAUCGGUGGCGAAAGCGCUCUACUGGACGGCAACUGACACUCAGGGACGAAAGCUAGGGGAGCGAAUGGGAUUAGAUACCUC